UGUACGUACAAGCAGUGGGAGCACGCUUAGGCGUGUGACUGCGUACCUUUUGUAUAAUGGGUCAGCGACUUAUAUUCUGUAGCAAGGUUAACCGAAUAGGGGAGCCGAAGGGAAACCGAGUCUUAACUGGGCGUUAAGUUGCAGGGUAUAGACCCGAAACCCGGUGAUCUAGCCAUGGGCAGGUUGAAGGUUGGGUAACACUAACUGGAGGACCGAACCGACUAAUGUUGAAAAAUUAGCGGAUGACUUGUGGCUGGGGGUGAAAGGCCAAUCAAACCGGGAGAUAGCUGGUUCUCCCCGAAAGCUAUUUAGGUAGCGCCUCGUGAAUUCAUCUCCGGGGGUAGAGCACUGUUUCGGCAAGGGGGUCAUCCCGACUUACCAACCCGAUGCAAACUGCGAAUACCGGAGAAUGUUAUCACGGGAGACACACGGCGGGUGCUAACGUCCGUCGUGAAGAGGGAAACAACCCAGACCGCCAGCUAAGGUCCCAAAGUCAUGGUUAAGUGGGAAACGAUGUGGGAAGGCCCAGACAGCCAGGAUGUUGGCUUAGAAGCAGCCAUCAUUUAAAGAAAGCGUAAUAGCUCACUGGUCGAGUCGGCCUGCGCGGAAGAUGUAACGGGGCUAAACCAUGCAC
This 634-nucleotide ribosomal RNA is filed under the name Escherichia coli. Its description in RNAcentral is "partial 23S ribosomal RNA". It matches the Rfam family "Bacterial large subunit ribosomal RNA", at positions 559 to 1194 of the family's 2925-position model. The record is from RNAcentral. Lineage: Bacteria; Pseudomonadati; Pseudomonadota; Gammaproteobacteria; Enterobacterales; Enterobacteriaceae.